This 224-nucleotide long non-coding RNA is filed under the name Ictidomys tridecemlineatus (thirteen-lined ground squirrel). RNAcentral's name for it is "lncRNA (ENSSTOG00000030822.1)". Lineage: Eukaryota; Metazoa; Chordata; Mammalia; Rodentia; Sciuridae. The record is from RNAcentral.
GGAACGCGGGAGAUUCGAGUAGAAGGUGUUUGGCGAGUUGCUGGGUCUGUCUGGACUGCGGCCUUUCGGCGUCGCCCUGGCUGUCUCCCAGUCUUGACUUAGCCCACUGGUGGAUGCCAUCUGGACCAUCUGGAUCUGGAUUUUGGAGGACAUAGAAAGGAAGAUGCCAUAUUCCAUCAUUUGUUGCACUGUCAAGGAAUCAGGUUUUAAAAAUAAUGCAUUUU